CCCACCCACGGAGAACCGUGCGGGGAGGAGCUGCGGGCCGCGGAGAAACUCCAAGCGACCCUGGAGAGAGCGGGGGCCCCCCGAAAUCGCUGUAGGGCUAGCCUUAAGUGGAAGAGUCUGGGAGGUAGAGCACUGAUUGAACUAGGGGUCCUCCUCGGAUUACCGAAUUCAGUCAAACUACGAAUUCCAAUGACUUAUCAUUAGGAGUCAGACUGCGAGUGAUAAGAUCCGUAGGCAAGA
RNAcentral lists this ribosomal RNA (240 nucleotides) under Bacillus cereus. RNAcentral's name for it is "partial 23S ribosomal RNA". It matches the Rfam family "Bacterial large subunit ribosomal RNA", at positions 776 to 1016 of the family's 2925-position model. Lineage: Bacteria; Bacillati; Bacillota; Bacilli; Caryophanales; Bacillaceae. The record is from RNAcentral.